UAACAUGGACGAAUGGGUGUGAAUCGAGGAAGAUUAUUUGAUACUUGGCAGGAUUGAUCCUCCUUCAGCCCCCGUUCAUCCGAUUAAUGAACAGGGACCACGAAGGCAAACAUUCAUAACCUGUUAGAAUGCCGAACUUUGUGACAAUAUUGCGAGUUAUGACUGAGAUUAUGGUGUUUGUACUGUCGUUAUCGUUUGGUCCAUAUUGUUCCACGUAACGGAAAGAGGAAAAAUAAUUCAACUCUUUUGACAAAUGAUUAUGUAUGAUCAUCCUCACCAUUUGAGUUGUCACUCUUUCGGAAAGAAUUUGGCUGCCAAACAACAAUGAGGUUAUGGCCAGGAACAACAAUAUGAGAUAUGAUACCAUAAUAAAUAUCUCAUUAGAGAGCAUCAGACUGUCAUUAAUUUAGUGAUGUACUGAACAUUAUUUUGAAGAACUGACAAGGUGGCGUCACCUAGUUUUUAAACUUGAUUGCUCGAAAUAAUGCACGAAGUUAUUUAGAUAUAUGCUAAGUAAAACUUGGGUCGGAUGCGGGUAUGCGCGAACACCACUAAAAGCGCAGCCCCGCGCCGCGAUUAUGACGCUGGGGACGGCUCCCGUGCUGCCGCGCACCGAACGCGGUAUAAUAGAAUCCCACCCCAGCAAAGAGCCCGGUUUGACGGUUGGCCCCUAUGCCUCCACCUCCACCUCCACCUCCACCUCCACCUCCACCGAGCGUUUUUUGAGUUGGUGGAUGCGUGUUCCAAAAGCAAGUAAGAAUUCUUUUUUUUUAAUGACAAGGAGGCUAGAAGAUAGCCACGAAUGAAGAAAAAUUAUGAAGGAAGAACUCAAAACACCGAGAGCAUAGAUUUUGUUAGGAUAAAUCUUCGGCUCACAAUCGAUUAAGAUCAACC
Molecule: long non-coding RNA, 894 nt
Filed under: Elaeis guineensis (African oil palm)
Lineage: Eukaryota; Viridiplantae; Streptophyta; Magnoliopsida; Arecales; Arecaceae
Description: long non-coding RNA (EGUI_LNC015845)
Source: RNAcentral